Aegilops tauschii subsp. strangulata is the source of this 707-nucleotide non-coding RNA. NCBI's taxonomy places the organism in Eukaryota, Viridiplantae, Streptophyta, Magnoliopsida, Poales, Poaceae. The record is from RefSeq and is a predicted model, not a curated record.
GCAUCAAGGAAGCUUCGUCCUGCUCCCAUACCAAGGAAGCCAUGCCCAGACCAACAUAUACAAACAUUUAUUCUCCCCACCCAUGCAACCUGCUCGUCUCUCACUCAGCAAGGACCGUGGUUGGCACUUGUCACGCUCAUGGCUGACCAACUACAAUCUGCUCGUCUUCAGCCUUGAUGGCGUCAUUCUAGCAGAUCUGCAGAUGCCUUCCCACCGUUGCCUAGCACCCUCAAGGACCAGGAAAGCAGCCGGGUGGAGACAGGGGCGUCCUCCCUUUUAACCGCAGCUUCCACCUCCUGCACUUUGGGUGCUGCUGUCGACGCUGCUCCUUCUCUUCCCCUCGGGAGGUAUGGACAAAUGGUGAUAAAUUGUUUGCUUAAUGAAUUGGUGCUCAACUAGACAAGCCCGAGGUCUAACCAGCUAUAAUCUCAGUGGCCAUUUCUUCGAAUAAGCAAGUCAUCUGAAUCUCUUUAUUGUUUCUUUAUCGAUAUACUCCCAUUUUCGUAAUCUUGAUUUUGAUAACUAUGGUAGAGACUAUGGGUAGAUCUAGAGUUCUUCAAAUGUCCAGUGUCUUUCCCGGGCGGGCAUCGCUCUUUCAUUAAAUCGGCAUUUUGUACAAAAAUAACACAUGGCCUGUUAACUGCUCAUGCAACUUUUUGCUUGCGGUUUCGGUAGCAACGUUUGCUUGCCUAUUUCACUUUGCUUUA